GGAGAGGCGUGGCACCAGCGGCCGUUGAAAAAUGGCGACUGUUACUGAGCUGAAAGCUGUUUUAAAGGACACCUUGGAAAAAAGGGGAGUGUUAAGACAUUUAAAAGCAAGGAUCCGUGCUGAAGUUUUCAAUGCUCUGGAUGAUGAUCGUGAACCCCGACCAUUGUUGUCUCAUGAGAACCUUCUAAUUAAUGAAUUAAUUAGGGAGUAUUUGGAAUUCAACAAAUAUAAAUACACAGCCUCUGUCCUCAUAGCAGAAUCUGGUCAACCUGUAGUUCCAUUGGACAGACAGUUUCUCAUCCGUGAACUAAAUGCCUUUGAAGAAUCAAAGGAUAACUCAAUAUGACCACCUGAAGAAGGACACAGGGCCAAGAACCAUGACUGAAGAGCUUCAUGCUGCUGCACAGGCAGUCAUUAGAUGAUGUGUACACCAGGCUCUUCACCUCGGCUGUGUGUGGAGUAACUAACUUAUUCCCAGUGCCAUCAAUUAGACCACCACUGUCUGUAAAUGUUUGAAUGUCUACAAACAUUCAGCCACUCGUGGUUUACUGCAUCUGUAGAAUACUGAUCUGUCAUCUAGUUUGCUGGAUGCCACUGGGGGAAAUUUAUUGUUUUCAGGAUGUAUUUUUAAAGUUCUCAUUUGUGAAAUCUGAAAGGUCUUUUUAGUACUUUGCAUAGUUUGUUUUUUUUAAGGCCAGCUCUAAGUGCUGUUGACGUGCCACUGGUAAAGCACUCACCUCCCAUGUGCAAGGGCCUGGGUUCAGUCCUAGCACCGGAAAAAGAAAACACAAGAACAGCUCUUUGUCCAUAUGCUCUAAUCAUUAAACUUUUUCUAGCUAGAAUUAUAUGGACCUAUAGGGAAAGUCAUUCAUGUUUU
Molecule: long non-coding RNA, 877 nt
Filed under: Rattus norvegicus (Norway rat)
Lineage: Eukaryota; Metazoa; Chordata; Mammalia; Rodentia; Muridae
Description: long non-coding RNA NONRATT004035
Source: RNAcentral